UAUCAUAGAAGACCGGCACUUUUGGAUGAGGUGUGAACUAAGAUAGAUUUGAGGGCUGGUUAUCACCAAAUAAGAAUGAAAGGAAGAGGAUAUCUACAAAACAGCCUGAAGGACCGGCUUUUUGAAUUCAAGGUGAUGCCCCGGCAACCUUUCAACAACUCAUGAAUAGUGUUUUUAAAGAGAUGUGUUGGAAAGGGGUAUUGGUCUUUUUCGAUGACAGUCUAGUGUACAGUUCUACCAUGGUGGAGCAUCUCAAGUUGCUAGAGGAAGUGUUCCGGCAAAACAAACUUUUUGUGGGUGAGCCAAAUUUCAUAAAGGAAAUACAUUAUUUAUGAAAUUGGGGUAUCUACUAAUACAAACAAGGUAGAGGGCAUGACAGCUUGGCCAGAACCAGCCAAUGUCAGAGAACUCCGAGGGCUGCAGGGGUUAUUACAGGAGGUUUGUACCGGGGUAUGGAGCUAUCAGCAGGCCUUUAACUGAGUUGUUAAAGAAAGGUAUGGAAAAGAAGCCAGAAAAGCAUUUCUCAAGCUCAAAAGUGCUAAGAUAUGGUGAUGCCUUUGAACGUUGCCUGGGAGAGCGGCUCAAAAGAGUUGGGACAGACUAGAAGCUUUGAAGCUUUGAAGUUUAUGUUCUUUAAAAAGAUAAUAGCUUUGAAGUUUAUGUUCUUUAAAAAGAUAAUAGCAAUCUUGACUUAAAAGGGUCAAGAUCCCCGUGAAGGAAUGCUGAUUGAACAUCGAGCUGAUAAAGAGGGAGUGCCAUACCCAAGAUACUCCAUUAAAGGAAAGGUAUGCUUGUCCUGAUUUACAGGAUCUGCUAGAGAUAGAUGCACGCCACGAGAUAACCACCCGCGCGGCCGCCAAAUUCCGAUUGGCUAUGUCGGUAUCAUCAUGCGUCUUGAAACCUGUGGCGGAGCUACAUUCAAAAGCAUGGGCGGGCUAGUGAAGAGAGGCCCAAUUUUCAGAUAAUUAUGACCCGAAUUUACCCUUAGGCUCAGUCUGUUGUAGCAAAAUUGGGCGGGCCAUGGAGCAUUUUGCUUCAACGUAGCUCCACCACUGCUUGAAACCACUUGGCAAGCUUCAAAGUGCAAACAGCAACCUCACUUUAUAUUUUAUUUGCCUUUGUGGGCCAUGAAUUUCAUGACACAAUCUAGAUUUCUACAACAAUUCCAAGCCAGACCAGUUCAGUUAACUAGCAUCUUCUGCAGCUCUGCUGACUAUUGAAAAAAUCCCAGGCGCACAAAUCCAAUGCAGUUGUCGACAUAGUUCAACAUUACAUGUAGGUCGGUAAGGCUAAAAAGAUUGUGCUAAUUAGGGGGUAAUUUUGCCUGAAGACUGACAUGGGGCCAUCGAAGGUCUCAUCUCAUACUGAAUGGAUUCAACCUGUUUCCUCAAAUCCGUGGGCUGCUUGGUCAGUUUUUGGCGCCACAAUCGAUUCAGAUCCUGUGUAAACAAAUUAAAACAGUGGAUUUCUGAAUUGAUAGAUAAAAACAAAAAUAGAGAAAUGUGGAUCUGUCUGUGCUAACUUCAUACUCCCUCCGUCCGGGUUUAUUUCAAAGCAAAAAGCUGCAAAGUAUAUUUAACACCAUCACCGGCAGAUUGCUCCAACCAACUUACUAAACCAAGCUGAUAGCACCAACAAAAUCCCAAACAAAAUGAUCCACUAAGAAAAGCUGCCUCAGUGGUAGUGACAAUCAAAACAGACAAAAGAAAAUACCUAAAAUUUGAAUUGGCUUGGAAAACAGAAAACAUCAGAGAGAUUCCCAUUAUAGACUUGGUCCAUCAUACCAAUUACAUGGUUCUGAUGUCCCUGUCUCGGUGGCAUCACCUGCUUCCAUGGAUUUCCAUCCAAGAUCCGAAUUGACAACUAACAAUGAAAGAACAAAGAAAACAGAGACAACAGAACAAACAAUAUUUCAUAUGAUUUGCCACCCUAUUUAAGAUUAAUAAUGUUUAACAACAAAAGAAUCUAAAAUUCAGCUUAUAUUUUAAGCUAGUAUACCACAGUAAAUGAUAGACCAUCGUAAUAUAAUUAUUAUACCGUAUAAACAUUCCAAAGGUAAGGCCAACCAUUCGUCGACCAGUUUGUGCACCCUACGUUCCAGUGAGUGAAAUAUAUCAAAGGCAAGAAAGAUCAGAUGCAACAAAAACAACAAAAUAAACUAGGGAAAUCAUCAUGGCUCAGACAUCCAAGGAAGGAAUUAGCAGCAUUAGCUCUCAAGCCUGGCAGGGCGAAAGCUCUUAGGCGGCAUCUGCGAAUGUUUAGAGAAACAAGCCUUAGUUCUAUCAUCAUCGCCAUUGAUUUCCCAGUAAAACUACACAAAAUAUUACAGGGAGGCAAUAGGUGUAAUCACAAAAAACGGCUCUGUGUACCGACUGAAUCACAGCCACAGGUUCCUAUCAAAUGUGAAAAUCUUUGUUGGCACAAUGUAGCAUCUCCGGUCAAGGCUUGUGGCUACCUGAGACGUGGCAUCGGGCCCAAGAAAACAGGAAAAAAGAAAGGUUGCAAGAGAACAGGCAUCAUUGCUUAGUCCCUCAGAGACCCGUUUCAAAUCACACACACAGCUGAAUCAAGCCAGUGCAAAUGGUAUUCCAUCCCAGAGCAAACCACAGAGGUUAUGAUACAGAGAUGGACACUUGCAGAAGCAGAGAAGCGGCUGCUGUUUACAGUGUCAUACGGCACUUCCUGGUCUAGUGCUCUUCACAGGGACAAGAUGUAGUACAAAAAGGAAAGAAUGACACAACUUCAAGCAAUGUUCAGUGGAAAGAUAAGUCGUUUUUCGGUUUGGGGGCUCGCGGUGACAAAUGCCACCACUGCCAAAAACCUAUAUGAAUCAUCAUCGCAUCACAAAAACAGAGGAAACAGAAAUGAAAUUAACAGAAGAUGAUGGAAGGUAAAGGCUUCAGUCUGAAACAACAUGAAUCGAUCAAUGGCGGACGAAUCCGCCUCAGCUAAGAUCCUUUCGGACCUGAAUGAUCACCAGCCAACAAUUACAUGUAUAAUUAUUCAUGGAAAUAUAAUUACAUGUUACAUGUAUUUGAUAUUGUAGAGUUUAAUAGUGUAUAUACAUGGUCAAACUUAAAACAACUACUGUGCAUACAAUUUGAGUGCAGAAUCACUAAGCGUACAAUUUGAGUGCAGAAUCACUAAGCGUACAAUUCGAGUAUCCAAACCUGAAUGGAUGCAAACCCAAAUAAACUGAUUUACCCACUUUUAAGUAAACUAGAUUCCAUCGGUCCAUCAUUUCGUACAGAUUCGAGGUUCGCCCCUGAGAAUUUCAAGAAGAAAGCAAUCCAUACCAAGUAAUGAAAAACGAAGGAGCCUGCAAAACAAGUUGCAGUUUAUGAAUUUAGUCAAUUUUAAGUAAUUUUUAUGCUCGAUGAAUCAUUCUGUAGAUCAAAUCAAGAGAUCAAAAACUAUUAUCAACUGUAGCGAAGAAACAAAAUCAAGUGAAUAGGAUUACACAUGCGCAUAGUAUAAUCAUACUCGAUCAUUUGGGGAAAGGAUCCUCAAUUCCAUUAAGAGAAAAUUUAGUUUGGGGGAAAUAAUAAUAAGAAAGUGGAUGGAUCAGAUUUCUGGCUUGGAAUCCUGAUGGGAUUACAUUUGCGCAUAGUAUAAUCAUAGUCGAUCAUUUGGGGAAAGGAUCCUCACACCCAUCCAAAUUUCAAACGAACAGGAAUACAAU
Aegilops tauschii subsp. strangulata is the source of this 3682-nucleotide non-coding RNA. The record is from RefSeq and is a predicted model, not a curated record. Lineage: Eukaryota; Viridiplantae; Streptophyta; Magnoliopsida; Poales; Poaceae.